GAUGAACGCUGGCGGCGUGCCUAAUACAUGCAAGUCGAGCGAACGGACGAGAAGCUUGCUUCUCUGAUGUUAGCGGCGGACGGGUGAGUAACACGUGGAUAACCUACCUAUAAGACUGGGAUAACUUCGGGAAACCGUAGCUAAUACCGGAUAAUAUUUUGAACCGCAUGGUUCAAAAGUGAAAGACGGUCUUGCUGUCACUUAUAGAUGGAUCCGCGCUGCAUUAGCUAGUUGGUAAGGUAACGGCUUACCAAGGCAACGAUGCAUAGCCGACCUGAGAGGGUGAUCGGCCACACUGGAACUGAGACACGGUCCAGACUCCUACGGGAGGCAGCAGUAGGGAAUCUUCCGCAAUGGGCGAAAGCCUGACGGAGCAACGCCGCGUGAGUGAUGAAGGUCUUCGGAUCGCAAAACUCUGUUAUUAGGGAAGAACAUAUGUGUAAGUAACUGUGCACAUCCUGACGGUACCUAAUCAGAAAGCCACGGCUAACUACGUG
Molecule: ribosomal RNA, 497 nt
Filed under: uncultured bacterium
Lineage: Bacteria
Description: partial 16S ribosomal RNA
Rfam family: Bacterial small subunit ribosomal RNA
Source: RNAcentral